Molecule: ribosomal RNA, 427 nt
Filed under: uncultured bacterium
Lineage: Bacteria
Description: partial 16S ribosomal RNA
Rfam family: Bacterial small subunit ribosomal RNA
Source: RNAcentral
UGGGGAAUAUUGGACAAUGGGCGAAAGCCUGAUCCAGCCAUGCCGCGUGUGUGAAGAAGGUCUUCGGAUUGUAAAGCACUUUAAGUUGGGAGGAAGGGCAUUAACCUAAUACGUUAGUGUUUUGACGUUACCGACAGAAUAAGCACCGGCUAACUCUGUGCCAGCAGCCGCGGUAAUACAGAGGGUGCAAGCGUUAAUCGGAAUUACUGGGCGUAAAGCGCGCGUAGGUGGUUUGUUAAGUUGGAUGUGAAAUCCCCGGGCUCAACCUGGGGACUGCAUUCAAAACUGACUGACUAGAGUAUGGUAGAGGGUGGUGGAAUUUCCUGUGUAGCGGUGAAAUGCGUAGAUAUAGGAAGGAACACCAGUGGCGAAGGCGACCACCUGGACUAAUACUGACACUGAGAGACGAAAGCUAGGGGAGCGAAUG